This 344-nucleotide long non-coding RNA is filed under the name Triticum aestivum (bread wheat). Its description in RNAcentral is "long non-coding RNA (TAES_LNC017437)". The record is from RNAcentral. Lineage: Eukaryota; Viridiplantae; Streptophyta; Magnoliopsida; Poales; Poaceae.
UUGCUCUCAUAUCAGUAGGAAAAACAAAUCAUCCCAGGGCUCCCUGCCAAGCAUCUCCCCGUUCUACCCUCCGGAAACCAGGUUCACUUUUAUCUACCUUCCUUGAAUAUAUUCUCCUCAUCCCAUUUCUGAUUCCUCAUUUUAUUUACUUGUUGGUAACUAGGGCAAGAUGGAUCUACGUGUUGAAAAAGCAGAAGAUUCGAGUGAUUCGAGUGAAAGAACUAUCAGCAAUAGUUCUAUGGGGAUCGCAUACUGUGGCAGCCAAGCCCAGGAUGACGACCUGGAAGCAGAUUCUGCUAUGGUAUUACCUGCUGUCGGAUGGAAGGAAGCAAGAUCUGACGGGC